AUUGAACGCUGGCGGCAGGCUUAACACAUGCAAGUCGAGCGGAGUGAUGGUGCUUGCACUAUCACUUAGCGGCGGACGGGUGAGUAAUGCUUAGGAAUCUGCCUAUUAGUGGGGGACAACAUUUCGAAAGGAAUGCUAAUACCGCAUACGUCCUACGGGAGAAAGCAGGGGAUCUUCGGACCUUGCGCUAAUAGAUGAGCCUAAGUCGGAUUAGCUAGUUGGUGGGGUAAAGGCCUACCAAGGCGACGAUCUGUAGCGGGUCUGAGAGGAUGAUCCGCCACACUGGGACUGAGACACGGCCCAGACUCCUACGGGAGGCAGCAGUGGGGAAUAUUGGACAAUGGGCGCAAGCCUGAUCCAGCCAUGCCGCGUGUGUGAAGAAGGCCUUAUGGUUGUAAAGCACUUUAAGCGAGGAGGAGGCUACUCUAGUUAAUACCUAGGGAUAGUGGACGUUACUCGCAGAAUAAGCACCGGCCAACUCUGUGCCAGCAGCCGCGGUAAUACAGAGGGUGCAAGCGUUAAUCGGAUUUACUGGGCGUAAAGCGCGCGUAGGCGGCUAAUUAAGUCAAAUGUGAAAUCCCCGAGCUUAACUUGGGAAUUGCAUUCGAUACUGGUUAGCUAGAGUGUGGGAGAGGAUGGUAGAAUUCCAGGUGUAGCGGUGAAAUGCGUAGAGAUCUGGAGGAAUACCGAUGGCGAAGGCAGCCAUCUGGCCUAACACUGACGCUGAGGUGCGAAAGCAUGGGGAGCAAACAGGAUUAGAUACCCUGGUAGUCCAUGCCGUAAACGAUGUCUACUAGCCGUUGGGGCCUUUGAGGCUUUAGUGGCGCAGCUAACGCGAUAAGUAGACCGCCUGGGGAGUACGGUCGCAAGACUAAAACUCAAAUGAAUUGACGGGGGCCCGCACAAGCGGUGGAGCAUGUGGUUUAAUUCGAUGCAACGCGAAGAACCUUACCUGGCCUUGACAUAGUAAGAACUUUCCAGAGAUGGAUUGGUGCCUUCGGGAACUUACAUACAGGUGCUGCAAGGCUGUCGUCAGCUCGUGUCGUGAGAUGUUGGGUUAAGUCCCGCAACGAGCGCAACCCUUUUCCUUAUUUGCCAGCGAGUAAUGUCGGGAACUUUAAGGAUACUGCCAGUGACAAACUGGAGGAAGGCGGGGACGACGUCAAGUCAUCAUGGCCCUUACGGCCAGGGCUACACACGUGCUACAAUGGUCGGUACAAAGGGUUGCUACCUAGCGAUAGGAUGCUAAUCUCAAAAAGCCGAUCGUAGUCCGGAUUGGAGUCUGCAACUCGACUCCAUGAAGUCGGAAUCGCUAGUAAUCGCGGAUCAGAAUGCCGCGGUGAAUACGUUCCCGGGCCU
RNAcentral lists this ribosomal RNA (1359 nucleotides) under uncultured bacterium. Its description in RNAcentral is "bacterial SSU rRNA". It matches the Rfam family "Bacterial small subunit ribosomal RNA", at positions 28 to 1381 of the family's 1533-position model. The record is from RNAcentral.